This 492-nucleotide ribosomal RNA is filed under the name uncultured bacterium. RNAcentral describes it as "partial 16S ribosomal RNA". It matches the Rfam family "Bacterial small subunit ribosomal RNA", at positions 29 to 507 of the family's 1533-position model. The record is from RNAcentral.
AGUGAACGCUGGCGGUAGGCCUAACACAUGCAAGUCGAACGGCAGCACAGUAAGGGCUUGCUCUUACGGGUGGCGAGUGGCGGACGGGUGAGGAAUACAUCGGAAUCUACUUUUUCGUGGGGGAUAACGUAGGGAAACUUACGCUAAUACCGCAUACGGCCUACGGGUGAAAGCAGGGGAUCUUCGGACCUUGCGCGAUUGAAUGAGCCGAUGUCGGAUUAGCUAGUUGGCGGGGUAAAGGCCCACCAAGGCGACGAUCCGUAGCUGGUCUGAGAGGAUGGAUCGCCAGAUGGGAACUGAGGAACGGCCCCGACUCCUACGGGAGGAAGCAGUGGGGAAUAUUGGGCGAUGGGCGAAAGCCUGAUCCAGCCAUACCGCGUGGGUGAAGAAGGCCUUCGGGUUGGAAAGCCCUUUUGUUGGGAAAGAAAAGCAGCAGGUUAAUACCCCGCUGUUCUGACGGUACCCAAAGAAUAAGCACCGGCUAACUUCGUG